This 497-nucleotide ribosomal RNA is filed under the name uncultured bacterium. RNAcentral describes it as "partial 16S ribosomal RNA". It matches the Rfam family "Bacterial small subunit ribosomal RNA", at positions 28 to 507 of the family's 1533-position model. The record is from RNAcentral.
GAUGAACGCUGGCGGCGUGCCUAAUACAUGCAAGUCGAGCGAACGGACGAGAAGCUUGCUUUUCUGAUGUUAGCGGCGGACGGGUGAGUAACACGUGGAUAACCUACCUAUAAGACUGGGAUAACUUCGGGAAACCGGAGCUAAUACCGGAUAAUAUUUUGAACCGCAUGGUUCAAAAGUGAAAGACGGUCUUGCUGUCACUUAUAGAUGGAUCCGCGCUGCAUUAGCUAGUUGGUAAGGUAACGGCUUACCAAGGCAACGAUGCAUAGCCGACCUGAGAGGGUGAUCGGCCACACUGGAAGUGAGACACGGUCCAGACUCCUACGGGAGGCAGCAGUAGGGAAUCUUCCGCAAUGGGCGAGAGCCUGACGGAGCAACGCCGCGUGAGUGAUGAAGGUCUUCGGAUCGUAAAACUCUAUUAUUGGGGAAGAACAUAUGUGUAAGUAACUGUGCACAUCUUGACGGUACCUAAUCAGAAAGCCACGGCUAACUACGUG